This 2954-nucleotide unclassified non-coding RNA is filed under the name Octopus sinensis (East Asian common octopus). RNAcentral describes it as "nuclear transcription factor Y subunit alpha, transcript variant X1". The record is from RNAcentral. Lineage: Eukaryota; Metazoa; Mollusca; Cephalopoda; Octopoda; Octopodidae.
AAAGGGAAUGUCGUCAGAGCGGCGGGAGGGAGUCCGUUCAUUCAACAGCACCAAUGGCGGAACAGCAGUGCUCGUGCAUUAACUGAUGAUUCGUUGUCCAUUGCCCGUUGAUUUCCAUAGCCAAUCACCAUGAAUAAGUGUGAAUUUAACCCAAUAUUACUCAAAAAGUCUUCAGUAAAAUCACAAAUCACAAAAUGAAGACAAAACGUUAUUUGGAAAAUUAUCAAUAUUGUCAAUUUUGUACAAUUGUCAUUUCAGGAAGGAUGACACGUAAAUCAGCUGAGUAAAAUGGAGCAGUGUCAGUUGACCACAAACUUACUCAAUGCAGCAGCAGCUGCUGGCUGCGAUGUUGUUGAUCCUUCUCAACAACAACAGAUCCAGCUUCUCGCAAAUCAAUCUCUUCUAUCCGCCCAACCUCAACAGCUAACUUUUGUUCAAAAUGUUCCUAGUGGUGCCGUCCAGCUUCAACAAGCCAUGCAACCUCAGAUGAUUCAGUUAAACCAGGGGGCUUUAGUAAAUGCCCCUAAUCAACAACUUAUGUUCCAAGCUCUACCUCAAGCAGCCAACCCACAAACAAUCCCCAUACAAACUGUACAAGGAGGACAACACCCAGCAAUUGCUUCAGCACAAACAUUGCAGGCGAUUGAUAUGUUUUCCACUGGCCAACAGUUUCCCAACCAAUCAUUACAACCACAGCAGUUUGUGAUUCAACCUGCUCCUAAUCAAUCAUUCAUCCCUACUGGACAACUUCCUGGUGGCCAGCUCAUUCAGACUCAAGAUGGUCAACUCAUCCUUUGCCAGCCCUUUGUUAAUGAUUUGAUAAAACGUUUACAAACCCAACAACAGCAGAGUCCAGGUAUUGUCCAGUUAAAUAAUGGAUUAAACUUGGCCUGUACCAGUCCAGCUCCAACUGCUGUUCAACCCGUGACAUCAUUACAGACAGUUGGUCAACUGGCAACAGCUAUUGCAUCUUCCAUGACGUCAGACUCAGUUGUCAAUAGUACUAAUAAUAAUAAUAAUAAUAGUAAUAAUAAUCAUUCUCCACCUAUAACAUCACCCAUGCCACCAGACUGCUCAUCUCCAGAUAUUUCUUCAUUAUCUACCGUUCCUAAUGUAAAUAACAUAGUUAUGAUGGUACCUGCUGAAAGUUCUAACUCUACAAACUCUAACAGUGGAUCUAUCUCCAGUGCAACAACCAUUCAAAGAAUACCGAUUCCAGGUUCAGAUCUUAUGGAGGAAGAACCGUUGUAUGUUAAUGCUAAACAAUAUCAUCGAAUACUAAAACGGCGACAGGCUCGAGCAAAACUUGAAGCUGAAGGAAAAUUGAGAAAAGAAAGAAAAGUAAAAAUACCUGCAUGAAUCGAGGCAUCGACAUGCUAUGAAUCGGAUACGAGGCGAUGGUGGUCGUUUUUAUUCAAUUAAGAAAGACGGGCCUUCUGAGUUUAAAUUUUCACCUAAACAUGAAGAGGAUGAUUCACCGGUUUGUGGUAUGUUGGACAUAGGUGACACUCAUCUUGCAUCUGUCAACUUCCUUUCUACCAAUGGAUCUACACUCACUGACACCAAAUAUAAUUAAGAUAUAAUACAUAUAUUUUUUAUAUUUUUUUAUGUUUUUCUUCUUCUUCUAGGUAACAUUCUUUUUUAUUAUACAUUGGCUGUUUAAGAAUUACAUAUUUUUUAAUAAAGAACAUCUUAACAGUCAAGAAUUAAUGGCAGCUUCAAUAAUUUCUCUGUAAUAAUAUAUAUAAAAAAAAAAACAAUGUUUGUUAGAUAUAUCUUAAUUAACCAGAUCAUGUAGCAUUUUAAAACCUUUCGAAUUCAUAUCAUAUCUUGAAAAAAAAAUGAUACAAUGUAGACAUUUACCAGACUGUAAACAAUUAAAUAUGUUUAUAGAGAGAUUCUACAAGCAAAUUGUGUAUAAAAUUAAAUGUGGACUUUCCUUAAAUUCUUUAUAUAUGUCCUAUAUAUAUAUAUAUAUAUACUCUUUUCCUCCUCAUCUUAGCUAUGUUGUUGUCAUUAUCGUCAUCAUCACUAUCAUCAAUAUUUAUACAUUUAUUUAUUGACAUUUAUUUAAUUUCCUUCAGAUAUUCAUUCUCCUGUGUGAAAUGCUUUAUUAUAAUUAUCAACUUCAAACCAAGUUAUGUCUUUACAGAAUGAUUAAUGAGUGAAUGUAUGCCUCCUUGCCUUCUAUCAACAGAAUUUUCAAUUUAAAAAAAAAAAAAAAACUGCUCCCUCUGUGUUUUUUCCCCUGCCAUCUAAUUUCAUAGCAUUCAAUAAUAAGUAUAGAAAAAUGAUAAAACUUUGUAUUUUUAAACCAAUGAAAUUUAAGUUAACCCUUUGCAUGACUAAAGUAUUUUCAUAAAUUUUUACUAAAUAUCGAUGCUUGUUUUAAGAUUUUUAGGUAGUAGGUUUUAGUAGUUGUUUUGUAGGUUUCUCAGUAAUAUAAAGCUUUCAUAAGUCCCAAGUUGCUCUGGUGGUUGAAAGAAGAUUAGGAAUGUGUAUCAUAUAUAUGAUGCAUGGACACCAAGGAAAUGUCCUGUAUAUCACGAUACAUAAGAGGCAAAGGGUUAAAAAAAUCUUGCAAUAUUAUAGUUUUAUAUAUCUUCAUAUACCUUUAUAUGUCUAUAUAGCUAUAACCUUUUUUUUUUUUUUCUGAAAUGGAUUAAGUAGUUUAUACAUCAUUUUUCCUUCCUACCACAACUGUUUCAUUGAAGAAAAAUAUUUAUAGUAUUACCAUUUAAGAGUUUGUGGAAUAUUCCUGUAAAUUAAUUAGUAAUUACAAUCUGAAACAAAAAAAGAGCUUUGUUGAACCUUCGGAAAUCACAUUAUUUAAAUUGGUUUUCCAUAAGCGCCUUUCCAUUUGAGCUACACAGAUACAUUCUCCACACCUUUAUAUUUGUUUAUAUGUAAAAAAAAACCCAAAAAAACCAUGUAAUUUAUAUUUAAUCAUAUUG